AGAUAAAAAAAGACCCAAAACUAUUCCGAUUGUUUUGGGUCCAGGGGAAUGGCUCUGUUUAAAGAGCCGUGCGCUACUGGUGAGAAUUACUCUCUGGCUAAUAGUGUAGUUGACCUAAGUCGCUUACACCGUAU
This 134-nucleotide small RNA is filed under the name Shewanella woodyi ATCC 51908. The record is from RNAcentral. Lineage: Bacteria; Pseudomonadati; Pseudomonadota; Gammaproteobacteria; Alteromonadales; Shewanellaceae.